UUUUUUUUUUUUUUUUUUUGAGACGGAGUCUCGCUGUGUCUCCCAGGCUGGAGUGCAGUGGCGUGAUCUCGGCUCACUGCAAACUCCGCCUCCCGGGUUCACGCCAUUCUCCCGCCUCAGCCUCCCAGUAGCUGAGACUACAGGCGCCCGCCACGCCCGGCUAGUUUUUGUAUUUUUAGUAGAGACGGGGUUUCACCAUGUUAGCCAGGAUAGUCUCGAUCUCCUGACCUCGUGAUCCACCCGCCUCGGCCUCCCAAAGUGCUGGGAUUACAGGCUUGAGCCACCGCGCCCGGCCUCAUUUUUUAAAUUGACAAAAAUUGUAUGUGUGUUCUACAACACGAUGUUUUGAAAUAUGUAUACAUUUUGGGAUGACCAAAUCAAGCUAAUUAACAUACGCAUAACCUCAUGUACUUAAAUGACCUUCAUCUGCAUAGAAGAGGAGAGCCUCUGGCACUCAUAGGAUGGAGGAGACCAAAGCUGUAUUUAGGGUACAACAAGGAGGCAGAGCUCUGGUAUGUACCUUGGGUCUAUUUCUUCAGAAGGGAAUGAGCCAGAAGUAGAGAAGCCCUCACAAAGACAAGCCCACGGUUAAAUCAGCUUAAUCAUUGGUUUUAUUAGGGUGAUCUACCCCUCUUUCAACUGAGUUCCAGAGGCAAAACAGAUGCUUUUGGGAGGAAGAUAAUGUCACCCAGAGAUUCAAAUUACUUCUAUAGUUUGCCAUACACAAUGUCUAAUCUACAUGACUGAAAACCAAAAGGAAAAAAAAACACAGUAAAAACAGAUCUACAGUAGAUCCAGACAUUGGAGGUAUUAGACACAGACAUUAAGGUAACUGAUUAAUAUCAAGACAUUAGAUCCCAGUUUAGUGACUUCUAGUAAGGAACUAGAGAUAAAAAGGAACUGGAUGGAAAUUCUAGAACUGAGAAAUAGAACAACGGAGCUUUGAGGGUUCAAUAGUGGGCUUCACAACAGAUAAGACAGUUGAAGAGACGAAUAGUGAAUUGGAAGGUAAGUCAGAAAGAAAUGGACUGGAGCAGAGAGAAGAAAAGGAUGGAAAACUCAGGAAAGAAGAGGAGAGACACACAGGAGAUGGUGAAAGAUUUAACGUGUGUAAUUGGAGUCCUUGAAGGCAGGGAGGACAGAGAUUAGGGCAGGGGCAGUAUUUGAAGAGAUCGUUAACAAGGAUCUUCCAAAACUGGCUUAUGGUUUCCGGAAGUACUAUUUACCCUAAGCUGGGCAGGAAAAAUACAAAGAAAACCCCACCCUGAGGCGCAUUAUGGUAAAGUGCUGGGUGGCUUUAAAUCACUUCUUAAGUCCUUACUUGACAAAAAUGUCUUGUAUUGAACAGGCUUUCACAUGAUAGACAGGCACCAUUUCUGUGAAUUUCCACAGUGGCUUUUAUAGCUUUGCCUUUAGAAUUCUUUCCAGUCACAUCUCUUUUUUGGGGAACAUUUCCCAAGGACUUGGCCCCUAGUAGCCUUGGCCCUAGCCUUGGCCCCUAGUAAGCUUGCUGUGCACGCACAACUGGUGUCCUCCGUGCACCUUUGUUUGUGAUCCUAGGGGAGAAAACAGUGCUACUGCCUCAUCUGCCCCAGCAGUGCUCUCACUCUGCAUAUCACUGAGGUCGGAUGGGAUGUAGGGCAGUGGCUAAGAGCACAGGCUGGAAACAGAACACCUAUGUCUGAUCAAGCUCUUGUUUCAACACUUACUCAUUGUGUAAUCUUGGACUAGCUACCUCGUCCUAGCUUUAGUGUACUAAGUGUACAAGAAGAUUUAUAACAUUCCUUAUUUUUUAGGGCUAUUGUGAGAUUUAAAUGAGCCCAUGGGUGUAUGUAUUUGACAUAUAGAAAACAAUUAAUAGAUGGGCUUAUUUUUAAAUCUCCUUGAUCCAUUUUUUGAACCAUAUAUUUCUCCCUUAAUAAUAGCUGAGGCCUUUUAUGCCUGGUUUGGUCCAGUGGGAACUGAACAUGAAAGGAGAGGAGAUGGUGUACAUUUUAUAUCAGAGCAGAGAGCUUCAAAAUUAAUCUCUUUACGUAUGUACAAGAGUUGGUGAACUUCACUCUUUAAAGGAAGAAGUGAACAUGAAGUUUGAAAAGUUUCCAGAGUUAGAGAAGGCAGACCCUGAUAAAACACCUGGAUAGGUUAAAGGAUUUUCUCCUUAUAGUAAAAGUUAACUUUUCUGACCCAAUUUAAAUUUGAUUUCCUGUUUCUGCCUUUAAAAAAAAUUGAUGCAUAGAAUGUACCAUCUUCUGUAUCAGAAAAUUCUUUCAUAACAAUUUCCAUUAAUGGAAUCAUUUCUUCCUCGCUUCCUUCCUCCCUUCCCUCCCUCCCUUCCUCCCUCCUUCCUUCCUUCCUUUCUUCCUCCCCCUCCCCUCCUUUCUUCCUCCCCUCCCUCCCUUUCUUCCUUUCUCCUUUCCUUUCCUUUCCUUUCCUUUCCUUUCCUUUCCUUUCCUUUCCUUUCCUUUCUUUCCUUCCUUCCUUCCUUCUUUCCUUCCUUCCUUCCUUCUUUCUCUUUCUUUCUUUCUUUCUUUGCUUUCUCACGCUGUUGCCCAGGGUAGAGUGCAGUGGUGCAGUGAUAACUCACUAUAACAUCAACCUCCUGUGCUCAGGCAAUCUUCCUACCUCAGUCACCUGAGUAGCUGGGACAAUAGGAGCAUGACGCCAUGCCUGGCUGAUAAAAACAAAUUUUUUUUUUUAUACAGAUGGGGUCUUGCUAUGUUGCCAGGUUGGCCUUUGAACUCCUGAGCUCAAGUGAUCCACCCGCCUCAACCUCUCAAAGUGCUGGGAUUACAGGCGUGAGCCACAGUGCCCAUUGAAUCUUUUAUUUCUGAUUCAACUCUGGACAUUAGCCUGACUACUUUUACUUCUUGGUUAAUACAUUUUUUUCAUGUAUUCACGUAAAUUAUUUAUUCUACACACUAGAUAUUUGACUUCUCCUUAAGUAAAUACAUAUGUAUACAAUUUAAAUUGUAAUUAUAACUACAUCACAGAAAAUUGGAAAAUAAAUUUCACCUAAUAUCAAAGACUAAACUCAACUACCAUUGGCAUCAACCUGUCUGAUGUUUUGUUUCUCCUUGGGCCAGCACUGAGGAGCAUUGAGAAGGAAAUAAAAGAAGCAGCUGCAUCUGUCUUUCAUAAAGCACAUGCUGUAUGUCAGGCACUAGAUGAAGCUGUUGCCAUGCGUGGUUUCAUCCAGUUGGCAAAUCCACCCGGAGAAGGCUUUAGUUUGGGCCUAGGGUAUCAUUCUCUUUUUUUUUCACUAGGCAGAAAUAGGAUCUUAAUGUGAGUGUAAAUUUGGACACUGAAAUUGGUGGCAAUCUUUGCUUACAAGGUAGAUGACACAGAACACAAUGAUUGUGAGAGAACUCAUAGACUCACUCCUCUUUCCCACACUGACAUGGAAAGCUCUGCUGUUGCUGUUUGAGGAGUGUCUAGGGUUUUGUGAUGCACGUUUGGAUUCAUGCAUUAAUUCACUCAUCCAUUCUAAAGAUUCAUGGUUAAGCCUACCACGAGCCAGGCUCUGUUCCUGGCACUUGGAUAUGGCAGUGAACAAAACAGAGAUCCCUGUCAUGAGCUUAAGUUCCAGUGGGAAGGGAGGCAGCAGAUAAGCAACAUGCAGGAUAAAUGGUAUGUGGAGAUGUAUGGUAGGCGGGAAUGUGACAGAUGCUAUGGAAAAAAUAAAGUGGGACUGGGCGCUGUGGUUUGUGCCUGUAAUCCCAGCACUUUGGGAGGCCAAGGUGGGCAGGUCGCUUGAGUCCGGUAAUUUGAGACCAACCUGGGCAACAUAAUGAGACCCUAUCUCUACAAAAAAUACACAAAUUAGCUAGGUGUUGUGGUGCAUGUCUGUAGUCCUAGCUACUUGGGAGGCUGAGGUGGGAGGAUUGCCUGAGCCUAGGAGCUCCAGGCUGCUGUGAUUGCACCACUGAACUCCAGCCUGGGUCACAGACUGAGAUCCUAGCUCAAAAAAAAAAAAGAAAAAAA
Molecule: long non-coding RNA, 3981 nt
Organism: Macaca fascicularis (crab-eating macaque)
Lineage: Eukaryota; Metazoa; Chordata; Mammalia; Primates; Cercopithecidae
Source: Ensembl